Molecule: ribosomal RNA, 520 nt
Filed under: uncultured Glomus
Lineage: Eukaryota; Fungi; Glomeromycota; Glomeromycetes; Glomerales; Glomeraceae
Description: SSU rRNA
Rfam family: Eukaryotic small subunit ribosomal RNA
Source: RNAcentral
AGUAGCCGCGGUAAUUCCAGCUCCAAUAGCGUAUAUUAAAGUUGUUGCAGUUAAAAAGCUCGUAGUUGAAUUUCGGGGUUAGUAGGUUGGUCAUGCCUCUGGUAUGUACUGGUCUCACUGAUUCCUCCUUCCUGAUGAACCGUAAUGCCAUUAAUUUGGUGUUGCGGGGAAUUUGGACUGUUACUUUGAAAAAAUUUAGAGUGUUUAAAGCAAGCUAACGCUUGAAUACAUUAGCAUGGAAUAAUGAAAUAGGACGUUCGAUCCUAUUUUGUUGGUUUCUAGGAUUGACGUAAUGAUUAAUAGGGAUAGUUGGGGGGCAUUAGUAUUCAAUUGUCAGAGGUGAAAUUCUUGGAUUUAUUGAAGACUAACUACUGCGAAAGCAUUUGCCAAGGAUGUUUUCAUUAAUCAAGAACGAAAGUUAGGGGAUCGAAGACGAUCAGAUACCGUCGUAGUCUUAACCAUAAACUAUGCCGACUAGGGAUCGGAUGAUGUUAAUUUUUUAAUGACUCAUUCGGCGCCU